GACGAACGCUGGCGGCGUGCUUAACACAUGCAAGUCGAACGGAAAGGCCCUGCUUUUGUGGGGUGCUCGAGUGGCGAACGGGUGAGUAACACGUGAGUAACCUGCCCUUGACUUUGGGAUAACUUCAGGAAACUGGGGCUAAUACCGGAUAGGAGCUCCUGCUGCAUGGUGGGGGUUGGAAAGUUUCGGCGGCUGGGGAUGGACUCGCGGCUUAUCAGCUUGUUGGUGGGGUAGUGGCUUACCAAGGCUUUGACGGGUAGCCGGCCUGAGAGGGUGACCGGCCACAUUGGGACUGAGAUACGGCCCAGAGUCCUACGGGAGGCAGCAGUGGGGAAUAUUGCACAAUGGGCGGAAGCCUGAUGCAGAGACGCCGCGUGCGGGAUGACGGCCUUCGGGUUGUAAACCGCUUUCGCCUGUGACGAAGCGUGAGUGACGGUAAUGGGUAAAGAAGCACCGGCUAACUACGUG
This 468-nucleotide ribosomal RNA is filed under the name uncultured bacterium. Its description in RNAcentral is "partial 16S ribosomal RNA". It matches the Rfam family "Bacterial small subunit ribosomal RNA", at positions 28 to 507 of the family's 1533-position model. The record is from RNAcentral.